This 720-nucleotide ribosomal RNA is filed under the name uncultured Bacteroidota bacterium. RNAcentral describes it as "bacterial SSU rRNA". It matches the Rfam family "Bacterial small subunit ribosomal RNA", at positions 582 to 1307 of the family's 1533-position model. Lineage: Bacteria; Pseudomonadati; Bacteroidota. The record is from RNAcentral.
UAUAAGUCAGUGGUAAAAGGUCGUGGCUUAACCACGGUAUAGCCAUUGAUACUGUAUAUCUUGAGUACACUGGGCGUAUGUGGAAUAUGGCAUGUAGCGGUGAAAUGCAUAGAUAUGCCAUAGAACACCGAUCGUGAAGACAGCGUACGAUGGUGAUACUGACGCUGAGGCACGAAAGCGUGGGGAUCAAACAGGAUUAGAUACCCUGGUAGUCCACGCUGUAAACGAUGAUCACUUGCUGUUGGGCUGUAUUAAGUUCAGUGGCAAAGCGAAAGCGAUAAGUGAUCCACCUGGGGAGUACGCCGGCAACGGUGAAACUCAAAGGAAUUGACGGGGGCCCGCACAAGCGGAGGAGCAUGUGGUUUAAUUCGAUGGUACGCGAGGAACCUUACCAGGGCUUGAAAGUUAGGGAAUAACGCUGAAAGGUGUUAGUCCGCGAGGACCCGAAACUAGGUGCUGCAUGGCUGUCGUCAGCUCGUGCCGUGAGGUGUUUGGUUAAGUCCAGCAACGAGCGCAACCCCUACCAUUAGUUGCCAACGGGUAAAGCCGGGGACUCUAGUGGAACUGCUCCGGUAACGGGAGGAAGGUGGGGAUGACGUCAAGUCAUCACGGCCCUUACGUCCUGGGCUACACACGUGCUACAAUGGCCACUACAGAGGGAACCGAAUCGGUAACGCGGAGGGAAUCGAUAAAAGUGGUCACAGUUCGGAUUGGGGUCUG